Molecule: ribosomal RNA, 253 nt
Filed under: uncultured bacterium
Lineage: Bacteria
Description: partial 16S ribosomal RNA
Rfam family: Bacterial small subunit ribosomal RNA
Source: RNAcentral
UACAGAGGUCUCAAGCGUUGUUCGGAUUCAUUGGGCGUAAAGGGUGCGUAGGCUGCGAGGUAAGUCUGGUGUGAAAUCCCGGGGCUCAACCCCGGAACUGCACUGGAUACUGCUUUGCUAGAGUACUGGAGAGGGAACUGGAAUUUACGGUGUAGCAGUGAAAUGCGUAGAUAUCGUAAGGAAGACCAGUGGCGAAGGCGGCUCACUGGCCCGGUACUGACGCUGAGGCACGAAAGCGUGGGGAGCAAACAGG